CGCCGCACCGCGUCUCGUCUCGAGUCGCGCAGGUCCACAAUCCCCACAGCACAAACCCUAGCCUUCCCAAACCCCGCAGCGCCGCACUCCCUCGUCCUCCUCCGUCCUUCCUCGUCAGCCAUCGCCGCCAUUCCGCCUCGCUCCUCUCUGUCCGACGACCAUGCCACCAGGAGGAAGCUGCCGCGCAAGAGGUCAGGGGCCGCCGCCACCGCGAGCCAGUGGACGACCGUUGCGAGCCUUUGGGCAGGAAGCCGACGGGGAGCACGCAACAAAGCCGCGGCUGCCGCCAGGGUCUUCUCGCUAGAGGUGGAGGAGCAGGGGAUCCCGCCAGAUCCGAGGCAUGAGGGCGCGGCGGCGAGCAUCUCCAGCAACGGGGGCGACCUGCAGGCAAACGGCGAUAGCUGGGGCGCACGAUUCGGUCCUGUGCCAUGAGCUUGUCCCUGCAGGAGAGAGAAAAGAUGUGGGGAAGAGAGAAGGAAGGAGAUGAAGGAGAAAGAGAGAGGAAAGAGGAGAGGAAGGUGCAGCGGCAGAUGGAGGAACACAAGCCGGCACAGGCCAUUCGCAUCUCUCCUCCUCUCCUGCCUUGACCACCACCGUGCCCCUCCUCCCCCCCUUCGCUUCUCUCCAUAUCCUCAUUCUUUGGAGCUAGCUGAUUGGUCAACACCGAGGAAGACGAGGAAGACAGAGCCAGAGGAAGAUGGCCCAGCCCUGCUGUCGACGCCCACCGGCCACCCCGUUUUUUUUUUUGUUCUUUAGUUUUGGAUCAAAGUUCUCUUUUAUCUUGAGUGUCCCUUUUUGGCAUAAAAUGGAUUCAACAACCAAUUUUAGCUAAGAACAAACUAUUAGUGAGGAAGGGCAAACUGACAGAGGUGGGCAAAACCAAAAAAAGGAUUGAGGAAGAGGUGGGCAAAACAACUUGAGCAAAGAGCUAAAUCACUAUGAAAUGCUACUUUCCAGUGAUUAAUUUCGUCCUUUUAAUUUUUCAGUAGAGAACUCAAAAGUUUAAUGAAGAUAGAAAGUUGCAUUUUAUUCUUAUCCACAUGGUUACUAAAUUUACAUUUUUAUCUGGAAAGAGGUGGCCUUAAACAAGUUAAUUUGCAUUUUAUUCUUAUUCACAUGGUUACUGAAUUUACUUUUUUAUUUGGAAAGAGGUAGCCUUAAAAAAAUAGAUUUUUUUACCAGAAUCUCUCUUAAACUAACCUGCUACAAAUAUAAAAUGGCAUUGCAUUGUUACUUCAGUGGGAAGUUCCUAUACAUAUUCUCUGUUUCUCCGGAAUUGGUUGAAAGUGUUUCUUCUGCUAUCCACUCUCUCACUAGGCUUGUUACCUUUGUUGCUGAAUUUUGCAUUGCUACAGAUGGAAGGCGUUGCGCUAUUGAAGGAGUCCAUCAAGAACUGGAGGCAAUGGCCUAUGACAUGGGGAGGUAUGUGCUUCAUGAUUGUUGUUGGUUAAUUGAGAGUAUGUGAUGCUCGAACAAAUGAUGUGCAAGCAGACUAAAUCUUUUAUCGACAUCUAGAACUUAAUGUUUCAUGUUAAGAAAAGUAUAUCCCAUAUUUCCCCUUAGUGGCAGAGAGCAUAUUUGAGCAGCUGACUGGAGGCUGGGCAUUUGCGUCAGUUUGAUUUGUUUGCGUAUGUUCACUGUUUUCUGUUUUCCAAGUGUUGAGUGGCUACAUUUUUGUUCGCUUUGCUGCUGUUGUGCUUGAUAUAAGAAAGACUAGGGGCAUGACAGUUGGGCAUGGGGCAUAAACAAGUCAUAGUAUCAGCGUCCAUGCCUAUAUGUCAGGUUAUAUGCCUUUGUAAUGUAAUCAUCCGUGUAUGUCAAUGGCAGUGGUUUAAAAUACGUAAGCUGAUGCAUCUUGUGCUUGCUUGUCACUGUGUUUCUACUAGGCAAGGUCUGGAAUAGAUUAUAUAUAUUCAUUCAAAUAUGACGUGGUCUUCUUCCUUUGCCUUUGUCAACAUAUUUAUUUGGGCGUUCCUUUUCUCUGUACUUUGUUUGGGCAGUGUUUUUCCCUACGCAUGUCCUUUUUUAUUAUAAGUUCAUGGGCUAAUUUGGUCAUAAUAUAACCCUGUCCUAAAAGUGCUCUUGCACUGCAGAAUUCUCUUAUUUACAUGUUUGGUCACAAUAUAGCUCUGUCCUAAAAUCCACUUUGCUUUCAGUUUGCAUCUGUACGACCCGGAUAGAUAUACUCUAGACCUUGAUAUAUGAGUACGUAAUUGAAGAAUUGGACAUCUUGGUCAUUGCGGAUUUUCUCUGUUCAUUUUAAAAAGAGUAUUACAAAUUUACAAUUCUCCGGGAGCAACACUCCUGAGGUAGCUAUUCAUCCAUGUUGCUUUUUAGAAAACUUGCGACCACAGAGGCCGAAGUCGCCACCCUGUAAUGUCGCGCUGAUGGUAGCCCAUACUGCUUUGCCGAUGAAUAAUAUUGUAACAGCUAAUGCUUGAAUUUUUCAUACCGCUUCAGCUAACCUGUGAAUAGGUCUGCACUCUGCACCUACAUAUUUUGAUGAUCGUACACUGCUGCCGUGGCUGGGCAAUAUGAUGAUAGUUUAAUGAAGCUUUUGAAUAUUCUAUUAGCAUAGCUCUGACAGGUAAGGAUACUUUAGGUUGUAGCUCAACUAUGUAUCUGUGGAUAUUAAUCUUACAACAUGCUAUUUCUUCUUUUUUUUUUGGACUUAAAAUUUCUGCGAAUUGUGGCUUAACUAUGAUACUUUAGGUCGCAUGCUCAAUUAUGUAUAUGUGAAUUGUGGCUCAGCUAUGAGGUUUUUAAUGAACGUUUCGAGUAUUCUAUUACUACGUCUUUGAAAGGUUAGGAUACUUUAGGUCUCAACCAUGCCUCUCCAUUUCCCGCCUUCCCCGCUAAGCCAGAAGAGGUGGUAUAAUGGAGCAAGCAUCAGGUGACAAGGCUUAUUUCUUUAUUUGGACCUAAAUUUCUGAGUCUGCUGUCAUAGACCUUAUGUUAAUAUCCAUUCCUAGUCGUACUCCUAUUAUUUUGUAUCACCAUUCUACAAAUGCUUCAGCUAAACUUUUCUUUGUUUGAGUUCUUAACGGUUUUGUCAUUUUCCAAUAGAAUUUGCUCCAUAUAUCAGCAGGGGAGGCCCCUACUGUAUCCAUCUAUAUAUUUUUCCUUUCGGAUGCACGUGAUGUGACGUUUAUUCUGGUGUAUGAAAUAAGUAGUUGAUUGUGUAGUCUUUUAAAUGAGCAAGGCAUGAGAGAAAGAUUAUUUUACCAUGGCAACCAUCUUUUAGUUCACAAUUGAGUUGAUGUUCUGUGAGAUCUAAAAAAUAAGUUGACAAUUGGCAUGGUUUGCAUUACAAGUGUGCGUGCCUCCUUUUAUUUGUUCUCUUGUUUUUCAAUUCCUUAUUUGUUAUGGCGCUGCUAGGAGGGCACGAGAGGGCCGACCGGGGGCCUUUUGCCCACGGCCGGGCAAGAGGGAAGGGAUUUCCUUCUUAAUUCUUGCUUGAUUAGAUUGAUACAUCUCCUCUCUUUAUAUAGAGAGGUUUACUUGACUCCCAAGCAAGCGACCCUUAUAACCAUGACUCGACGCAACACAAACCUAACACCUAAAAACAAGCUUUUUACUUCUCGGCUUGUUUUAUUACUCUCAACCUGAAAUGGACUGGGACGCUUUAUUUUGGACCCCUUAACAAAAAGUGGACACCAUCCGCACGUCGGACAUGCAUGUGUACAACCACCUGGAUCCCAUGGACACCAUCUGGACAAAAAGAGUGCAUGGGUAUGGCCACCUGGAAGUGGUCACAAGAGCGACCAGCAGAGGCGCGCCCUUGCAGCGGCCGGCGGAAUGCAGUGGUGCUACGUGGUGCGCUCCUGUCGGUGACACCCUGCCUUCUUCCCACCGGACGGCUGUUGGUCUGCACCGCACAGAGAAGAGUGGAGGGCUU
RNAcentral lists this ribosomal RNA (3898 nucleotides) under Triticum aestivum (bread wheat). RNAcentral describes it as "partial small subunit ribosomal RNA". Lineage: Eukaryota; Viridiplantae; Streptophyta; Magnoliopsida; Poales; Poaceae. The record is from RNAcentral.